UGUGGCCAGAGGACGUUGAAA
This 21-nucleotide microRNA is filed under the name Zea mays. RNAcentral describes it as "microRNA miR-3035". Lineage: Eukaryota; Viridiplantae; Streptophyta; Magnoliopsida; Poales; Poaceae. The record is from RNAcentral.